Molecule: ribosomal RNA, 253 nt
Filed under: uncultured bacterium
Lineage: Bacteria
Description: partial 16S ribosomal RNA
Rfam family: Bacterial small subunit ribosomal RNA
Source: RNAcentral
UACGAAGGGUGCAAACGUUGCUCGGAAUUAUUGGGCGUAAAGCGCACGUAGGCGGCUUAGCAAGUCGGAUGUGAAAGCCCUCGGCUCAACCAAGGAAGUGCAUCCGAAACUGCUGAGCUUGAGUACUUAAGAGGAUCGCGGAAUUCCCGGUGUAGAGGUGAAAUGCGUAGAUAUUCGGAAGAACACCAGUGGCGAAGGCGGCUCACUGGUCCGGUACUGACGCUGAGGUGCGAAAGCGUGGGGAGCAAACAGG